This is a non-coding RNA of Malus domestica (apple), 2058 nucleotides long. The record is from RefSeq and is a predicted model, not a curated record. NCBI's taxonomy places the organism in Eukaryota, Viridiplantae, Streptophyta, Magnoliopsida, Rosales, Rosaceae.
UUAAAUUUGAAACCGAUAUAUGAUGAAGGCUCAUAUCCGGAUCCUCGCUGGAUUCGUUUCCCAACAGAACACCCUUUUCUCUGUAUCUCUUUCCUCGAUGUAACUUUCUGCAAUCAACUGAGCCAGGGUUUCCGAGUUGCCAUGGCCGAUUUCCAGAGCUCGACUCACCGAGCCAGGUGGAUCUUCACUCCCGAAGAACUGGCUGGUAAAUACAAGGCUGCUAAUCAAAGAGCAAUGCAAGCAUUGGAGAAGGUACGUAUGGAGUCUUGCUUUCGUUGGGAGUGUGUUUAUAGACCGGUAUAAGUCGUUGCAAGUGAGUUUUAGUUUAAUCGAAGCAUGUCAUUAAUAUUCUUCAUGCGAACGUGGUUUAUAGCUGUUUGUUUAACUUAUUUGCUGGUAUGAGAGCGUAUGUACUAAUGCAUCGAGUGUACCUUAUUAGAUAGUUUAAGGAGACGUUUACUAGCUCAGGUGACUGGCGGAGGAUGUGUUGAUUGAAAUUAGGGCAAUGUCUCAAAUUAUUGGUUUAAAGAUAUCAUUAUACCUUUCUACCAAUGCAUGUGUUUUUGUAUGUCAUUUGUAGUAUUUCUUGUCCAAGAUGUUCACAUUUUGUCCCAUAGGAAAAGAGUUAUUUUUCUGCAAAUUGGCUUGACUAAUGGAAGUAGACGUUGAUGGAACAUUGUCAUACCCGAAACCCCAAGUUAAUGCCGAUUCCCGUCCAAAACCCAUUAGCAUUGAAGAGGAGCAAUUUAUGCGAGUAUUUUAUGAGAACAAAGUUCAAGAAGUUUGUACCAACUUUCACUUUCCGCAUAAAGUUCAGGCAACGGCUCUCAUAUAUUUCAAGAGGUUUUAUCUACAGUGGUCGGUGAUGCAACAUCAUCCAAAAACUAUAAUGUAGAAGUUCACUAAGAUGUUGAGACAUGUGCACAGGUUAACCUGUAUAACCACGUAUCAGUAGAGGAGCUUGGUAAGGGAAUCUCACAGGAUCAUCAAAUGAUUCUCAGUAAUGAGAUAAUAAUUUAUCAGGCAUGACUUUGGAAUUUGAUCUUAUUGUUUAUGCACCAUACCUCUCAAUUGAAGGAUUUGUCAAUGAUAUUGAAGAAUUCUGCAGAUUAGAGGAUAACCAGCUCCAAUAUCUGAAGGGGCAGCAAAGACGGAAGUUGAUAAAAUCAUGCUCACAGAUGCACCACUCCCUUUCCCUCCUGGGCAGGUUUGCAGAGUUGCCGACUUUGAGAGAUACCUGAGUAGCAUUCUCUCUCGGCAGAGUUCUGCGCAUACUAUUUCAGAGCUAGUCAAAUUCCUUAACGCAAUCGAUUCUUGGGCAAAAAGAUACAAGUUUCCUUCGGACAAGGAUCUCAAGCACAUCAAUCGGAACCUGAAGUCUUGUUGGGGUCUUAGUACGCAUGACGAGAGCAAGAAGCGGGAUAAGAAAUCAAAGCACAAGUCGAAAAGGAGUUCAAAUGAAGCACAAACUUAAAAGCAUCACCAACCCAAUUGAACCGGGUCCAGCAUUGAAUUGGGUCGGGUCGGGUCGGGUUUGGGUAGGUGGAAGACAUUGUUGCUCCUGAGACAGACACGACGACCCCGACAAGUAGAAACGACGCCGUCCAACGUUUCAUCUCCUUGUUACUGCCCUCUGCUACACCCUGAGAAGCAGAAAGAAGGGGAUUCAAAAGUCGAAAGCUUCAAUGGCGUGCCUUGUCUCGACGACCCUCUCUCUCCCUCUCUCUGCUUCCCAUAGCUUUGAAAAGGGAAUAGCUCCAAGAAGAUUAUCACUGGUGGUCAGACUUUCAAACCAACCAAUUUCAGAAACAGCUGCAAAGCCUUCCGCCUCCAGCAGGACAAAUAAAGCCAUGUCAACUUCGAAUCAGAGUUGUCAAGAUCAUCUUCGGACACCCUCGAAACUUCUUUUUGAAAUUAUGUCUUGUUAUAGGAAUGUACACUCUUGUAGCCACACGAUCAUAUUUGGUUUUUGGGUUGGACCUGAUAUUGAUGAUGGUUGGGGCUAUGUGGAAGCUUUUGUUAAUCCAAUCACUUGAGUACUUUUCGCUAUUCCAUGUU